AUUGAACGCUGGCGGCAUGCCUUACACAUGCAAAUCGAACGGUAACGGGCCUUCGGGUGCCGACGAGUGGCGAACGGGUGAGUAAUACAUCGGAACGUGCCCGAUCGUGGGGGAUAACGAGGCGAAAGCUUUGCUAAUACCGCAUACGAUCUACGGAUGAAAGCAGGGAACCGCAAGGCCUUGCGCGGACGGAGCGGCCGAUGGCAGAUUAGGUAGUUGGUGGGAUAAAAGCUUACCAAGCCGACGAUCUGUAGCUGGUCUGAGAGGAUGAUCAGCCACACUGGGACUGAGACACGGCCCAGACUCCUACGGGAGGCAGCAGUGGGGAAUUUUGGACAAUGGGCGCAAGCCUGAUCCAGCCAUGCCGCGUGCAGGAUGAAGGCCUUCGGGUUGUAAACUGAUUUUGUACGGAACGAAAAGCCUUCUUUUAAUACAGGAGGGUCAUGACGGUACCGUAAGAAUAAGCACCGGCUAACUACGUG
This 482-nucleotide ribosomal RNA is filed under the name uncultured bacterium. RNAcentral's name for it is "partial 16S ribosomal RNA". It matches the Rfam family "Bacterial small subunit ribosomal RNA", at positions 30 to 507 of the family's 1533-position model. The record is from RNAcentral.